Molecule: RNA transcript, 7898 nt
Organism: Bombus pyrosoma
Lineage: Eukaryota; Metazoa; Arthropoda; Insecta; Hymenoptera; Apidae
Gene: Lim3
Gene name: LIM/homeobox protein Lhx4
Exons: 9
Source: RefSeq, a predicted model, not a curated record
UCUAUGCGUCCCUCCAAGUUCCCUCCAGGUCCCUCCAGCUCUCUGAUCCUCGAGGUUGAAGCCAAGAACCCCGCGAAACCGGCUCCAUAGUGCCGCGGUACCCGCUAAUCAAAUCGCACAUUCCGAGAUCUCGCGGCAGUGUACAUUUUUCGGUGGAUCAGGCCUAACUAAAAGACGAUCGUUAACAUUCGCGAAGAAAUUCACUACCGCCGGUUGUCGUUUAUUUUUCAAUCGCACACGCAGAUGUGGAUGAGAUUUGUAAAGCAUCGGUGAUCGCUCGUCGAAUCGGUCGACGAUCAAUCAUAGUGGACACAGUGAGGAAAGAAAAGACGAAAGCGACGAAUUAAAUGCAGGACGUUACCAAAACAUCGACGUGGAAGGUUGCACGGUAUCGUAAGCCGCGUUCUUCAUUUACCUCCGAAAGUGAACCGAUCGGUGCACCUUUUACGGUCAGUGUCUCCGCAGGAGAUCAUAAAAGGACAACGGAGAGAUUAAUUCGAGCAGGACGGGCCCAUCGACGUGGAAGAUCGGUCGCCGAACGGAAUUCGGUGGAUUCCCAAGAAAAGUCGUACGAAACUCAGAGACCCGGGAAAGAAAGUCAUUGGCAGUGGACAGAGCGGGGGAUAAUCAUCGUUGGGUGAAUGGAGCGGACGUUUGCGGACCGAUGACGAACUCGAGACGAGUUUGGUGCAGCCGAUACCGGGGAAAAAACAAAAACAGAGCGUGGCAGGACGAAAAUCGCGAUUCAACGGCCGUGGAAUUCGCCGUUUCUUACCGGUCGCCGCGGCGCGACUCGUAUUCGGCUUGGAAUCGCCGGACGAAAAGAAGACCCGCGACGAGCAGCGCCGGCCGAAUCGUCCCAAAGUAUCGCUGCUACGUGAUUCAUUGGGUUUUUCUCUCUAUUGGCAUUCGGGAUUUACAUCGGUCCCGGCCACGAUUUCCAUCGACACGCGUGUAAAAACCUCACGACCGCCCGCCGCUGAUCAAAGACGAACAGCCGAGAUAGACGCGCGCGCCGCGUCCAACAGAUUAGAGGAUAGAACUACUAACAAAGCCUUUCCUAUCGAUGAUCUUCUUCGUCCUAUCUUCCUACCGGUCGUCGUUGUUGUAAUCUUCUUCGUUGAUCGUCGUUGUCGUCGUCGUCGUCGUUGUCGUCGUCGUCGGCGUCGUCGUCGUCGUCGUCAUCGCCGUCAAGCUUUCGCCAACCGGUACGAAAGCAAAGGACAAGGAGACUCGUUCAUUUCGACUGCACCUUGCCGAAACUCGUAUUAGGACUGGAACGCGAGGAAUAAGAAAGGCCAUCGCCUUUAGAGGUGCAGUUGUAUUAUCGUUUUACUGGUUGAACGUUCGAUGUAUUCGACGAAAUAUAUCGAUCACAAAGAAAAGUAGAAUCGAAGCGAGACGUAAGAGACGUAUUUAAAAUAAAUCGGGAAAACCUUGGGGUUUUCUGGUCCAAGUUAUUGGGGAUACCGUUUAUCGUUUCCGUAUCGAUGUUUUGGCGUUACACGUCUCGUGUCAAUUAUAAUGCAAUCGCGGAAGUUUUUCGAUGCACUUUGUAACAUAACCGACUAUGAAAUUAUCGAGCGUGAUUCAUGAAAGGCCUAUUGGAUAGAGAAUCACGGAGCAGUUAAAGAUAAUCGCGGUGUCACUGGAGGAGAGCGACGAGCUGCUGAUAUCGUUUUAAAAGAAAAUCUAUAAGGCGAAAAGAAAAACGAGACAAGAAUUAGUCUAAUCGCGGACGCGAUUUUAUAAAGAAAAAGUGUCACGAUCGGAGUAGCAUAGCCAAGGUUAUGGUCGAGAUAAACCGAGACCAGUGAACAGCCUGAUAAGACGUGGACCGUCGCUCUGGGUUUCAGAUUGCGAGAGGGACGCAACGAGUACGCGGUUGGUUUCAAGUCCGCUCGGACCUCGUCUCGAGGUGCUCCCUCUUCCCGUCCUUUCGAUUCUCGAUUUCGAUCUCGAUUCACGUGAUCCGAUCGAACCGCAGGGAAGCGCAAAAAUUCUGUCGGAGAAUUUCAGUGAUGCCGAUCAUCCGCCGCGGUGUCGUGCUUCGCCACUUUGAAGUGACAGUUUUCCACGAAACGAUUUAACUAUCGCGUCUCGACGACGACCGCAGUUCCAUCACUCUGGUAUCGUCGUUUCUUUUAAUCAUCCAGUGUCGACGAGUCAAUUCGAAUAAUAUAAUCUUCUCCUCGUCGCUGCGAAGAGUUGGAAAAAUAAUAAUUGUUACACUCACGUAUCUUCGCAAAAGGAUAACGCGAUUGUUAAACAAAUACAAACGCUAUUUUAGCUGGCGUUCGAUCGAUCAACGAGAACGCAGCGCAAAUACGCGAGACACGCGCGCACCUCGUGACUAUCCCGCUUUAUUAAUGACAAAUCAAGGUUUUUCUUCUCGCAAGAAGCGCGGUCGAAGCUAUUUACAAACAAACCGUUCCACAUCAGCCUCCUGGUAACUGCGCUCGUAAACAUCUACCAACGGUUGGCGCUUCGAUGAUCUACAAAACCGCGUAGGCGUUGCUUAUGCACGUGAUACGCGAUAGUUGAGCCGUCGAGCGAACCUCGAGCGUUCUCCCCUAAACAGGCAAAGUCAUCGGAAGGUGACAGAAAUAAAGAGCCUCUCGACGAUCGAUCGCCAUCGACGUCUGCUCCGCGACAACGCCAACGAGAUUACAACGGAACUUUGGACGAUCGAACGAUCAAACGAUAAAAACAUUGAAAACCGAUCGUUCGCUUGGAACGGUUAUUAAAACCGAUCAGUCGGCUUCUCGAGUAAUAUCCGGAAGCGACGAACGGCUUCAACGAGCGACGAAAGUGAGUGUUGAUUUCGCGCGAACCAUCGAUCCGCGCGCAACGGCACCAGUGUCUUCGAUCGAGUGCAGCUGUCUGUAGGUCCAGUGAACGCACGAUCGCGAUAUAGAAUUUCGUCUCGUGUAACAGUUUGAUUAGUGAAAACGUUAAUCUGGAGGACUCGAUCUUCGAGAUAAAGACUCUCGUGAUAGUGAAUCUCGCGAAUGAAAGCAGUCGACGAACUCGUACGAUUUUCCACGAACCAAUUUCACGACGAAAUUACCGCGCCCUUCUGCAAACCGAAUCGUAAGUAACGCUUUUAACGAAGGAGUUUCGCGUCCAACGAGAUCAAACGAUCGCCCUACGACGAUAACGCAAGAGUGUUAUACGUAGAAAUCUGGUGUCGAUCGAUGCCGAAGGGAAAAGAUUUAGGACGAAAUUGAGCCGAUCUCGUUAGAACGAAGAACAUCCGGCGUCGAUCAGUGUUCCCGUGACAGCCGCUUCCUGGUUUAUACUGGAGCUGUACUUGCCGUACGCACCACUGCCGGGGGGUGGCGGAAUCCUCCCGGCGGUGAGCAGCGGACCUGCUUCUGGAGGGUGUCGUCCGGUAUUGUUGGGUGGCGUCGAUCUGUCCAUGUCGGCGGCGGUGCAACCGGUCGCGACGCUGCCGACGCUACCGAGUAGCGGUCCGCCGCCGCACAAUCCGCUCCAUCAUACACCCGGGGGAUUGGCGUUGCCGCCGUUGGGCUCGGCGCCGGUGAUGAUGCCGCGUCCACCGACCACCACCAUGCCGUCCUUGGGCCCCUCGUUGCCACCCUCGCACCAGGACGCUGCCGAUUUGGCCGAGGCUGCGCCAAACCAGGACGUCCUGUUGGCUCUCCUCGCCAGGAACAAGAACUUGGAAGAACGGAAGAUCAAAACACCAAGCUGUUUUCCGAUCAAGGAAGAACCAUCGAUACCAAAGUGCGGAGGCUGUCAGGAAGCGAUUUUGGACAAAUACGUUCUGAGAGUUCUGGAAAGGUGUUGGCAUGCAAGGUGCCUCACGUGCCGGGAUUGCGGUGCAAGAUUGACUGAUAAAUGUUUCGCAAGAAACGGCCAUGUCUUUUGCAAGGACGAUUUCUUCAAGUAUGGCAGGCGUUUCGGGACGAAAUGCGCGGGCUGCGGCCAAGGAUUGGCACCGUCGCAAGUCGUGCGUAGGGCGCAAGAAUUGAUCUACCAUCUAACUUGUUUCUCGUGCGCCCUUUGCUCUCGACAGUUGGACACUGGGGACGAGUUCUACCUCAUGGAAGAUAGAAAGCUCGUUUGUAAACCCGACUACGAGCAGGCGAAGGCAAAAGAAUUGGCAGACGGAGGAAGUAUAGACGGUGACCAACCGAACAAAAGGCCAAGGACCACGAUCACAGCGAAGCAGUUGGAUACUUUAAAAUCAGCGUACAAUAACAGUCCUAAGCCAGCGAGACACGUGCGAGAGCAACUUUCUCAUGAUACAGGACUCGACAUGCGCGUGGUUCAAGUUUGGUUCCAAAACAGGAGAGCAAAAGAGAAGAGACUGAAGAAAGACGCGGGUAGAACAAGAUGGUCUCAGUAUUUUCGAAGUAUGAAAGGGACGGGUGCAGGUGGACAUUCACCUAGGCACGAUAAGCUUCUUGAUAAGGACGAGCUUAAGAUCGACUUAGACUCCACCUUUGGUCACCAUGAUUUGAGCAACGAUAGUUACGGAACAGUGGUGAACAUGGGAUUAGAUGGUGAAGGCGCGAGUCCAGGUGGGGUUGGAAAUGGGGCAAGCGGGGGCCCUCCACGUAGUUAUUUGGGUGCAACAACUCCCCCUUAUCUCUCAACGUCCAGAUCACCGUCCUUACCACCUCAAUUUCCAUAUCCACCGGAUGCUGGCCUCUCCGUCUACACUACCCUUGGAGGCACAGGUGGCAUGGUACCAGGACCGGCAUCGGAUUUGAGCAACGAAUCGAGCGGAGGUGGUGGUGGCGGCGGAGGCGGCGGUGGAGGUGGUUACCCGGACUUUCCACCCUCGCCCGAUUCAUGGCUCGGCGAACCACCACCUCCACACGCUCACCACCAUUCCCACUACGCCACAUAACCCGGCAAACAGACGCGUUGCCAAGCACCGUUCGGAAGAACGGAUCGGCGCAAGGCGUUUACCUGACGAUCUUUAUCCAUAAGGCAAGACUCAAUUAAAAGACUAAGUCUUCGAUCGAAUCAUCAACCUGUCCACUUUCGUCGAUCGUCGACGAUCUUACGUUCACGAGUCUCGAUCUCGAGAGGAUCUCGGCGUUCUCGGUGUAUCGCCAAGAGAUCCAUCUAACAAGAGCGGAACUCGAUCAGGAUAUGUGUGACGAUCGAGCACCGUCUCGAGCCACAGGAGUCAUUCCACACCGUACACUUCACCGUCCCGGCGAGGUUCCCAUCAUCGGAAUGAUGCCAUAUGUCGCUGUCGUAUAAAGUUACAUUUAGAGCGCGUAUACGAUACGCAUUCGAUAGCUACGAUUAAUCUAAAUAUAUUUAUGUACAAGUUCCUCGUUUCCCGGUACUAUGGAGUUUAAUCGUCGAAUAAAGAAAAACUAGAGGGUAGUUUAGGCGUGUCGCGAGACCGGUUGUUCGCAAGGAAUCGAUAUCGUUCGAAAGAACGAUAUUUCGUAACGCACUCUUUUUUUCAACAUCUAUGUAUGUUGGUACUUAAUGAAGUCAUCAAGAUAUUAGCAAGAAUGGGUAUCGCGUAAGGAACUGACAUUCGUUCUAGGGAAUAUAUACACAUUGCCGUUGAACGAACUGCGAUUCAUAGAGAUCGUACUUGACGAAAGAUAUCGUUUCAUUAGUGAGCAUCGCUAGACACGUUUCUAUGGUAUACCGCGCUUACGUGACGCUAGAAGUUUCAAGUGUCGUUUAUUGUACAUAGUUCAGAUUAGAUUUUAUUGUACUACCGUAAGGGAAGGAGGAAAAAUGGGAGGGUAGAAUGAAAGCAGGAAAGAUGGGAAGGAUAGGCGUACAGCGAUCUCCAAGGAAGCGACGCCGUCCGCGAAUGAAAUUCGAAAUAAAAAGUUAACCCUGAAGCACUAAUGAAUUUUUUCCAUCGACGCUCGAUAAAUCGAUUUUCUCGUGAAUGCAAGAUAAUUACACGAAACCGGUCCGUUAUUUUUCGUCAGCGAAGCUGCGACAUAGCAUGAAAUCGUGAACGCUCGAUCGCGGAAGCGUGGAUUGUAAAAUCAGUUUCGAUUGGUCAAACGAUUUACAUUUUUUUUUUUUUUUUCAUAAUGAAUAUAUAUCGAAUGUCGCGCUCUUGUAAUGUAAAGUACAUACAUAAAAUGUAAGUACAAUACGAAUUUAGUGCUGCAGAGUUGGCUAGCUUCGCGACCAAUCAGAAUCGUUCUACUUACCGCGAAUCGCUCAGUCCACUUUAAGAGACGGACGAGCGAGCACGAGGUGGAAAUAUUGUCCACGUUAGAUCGAACGUCGUCGCAUGAUUUCCGAACGCCUUAUUCAAAUUGAUUCAAGAAGUGUGAUUUUCGAGCGAACGACAGCCAGGUGUGGAUUAUUAAUUGUGUUGUAAUUUAUUGCAAAAAGGUUUACUUGCGACUGGUGAAUCGUGGAGAACUAUGAUAAGUCGAGAGAGGCUUGCCCUUAUGGAUACAACGAUCGAUGUAUCCAUAAACAAAACCAAUCGUGUAGUCUACAUCGUGAGGCAUAACGAAGAUGUUUCUUAGCGUGACAACGCAACGAAUAUCGACAUCCAUGAUUGUCGCUCGAAAAAUUGUAUAUACGUCGCCCCGAUUAUUUUACCCGCGAAAAUUCGACGAACUGAAAUUGAAAGGAGAGCUGAAACAAGAAACAUGGUGUAUUUCGUCGGGUAAAAGAACUGAAUGUUGUACAGUUAUGAAAAUCGAACACACACACUCCUCACCGGGUUUCAUAAAAAUGAAUAAAAAAAGAUUCGCAUGACUAGCGCAAUUCAUAACUUCAUCAACACGAGUUACUACGGAUCUUUAUAUUAUUAUCUAGUCAUCGAGUGAUAAUAAAAAUUCUAUCGUAAUCUAUAUCACGUUGUACUGUGUACUUUCAAACUCUUCAUUUUUAUCCGUACACGAGCUUAAGCAAAAUUUAUACUUUGUACAUUAAUUCUCUACAGGCGUUCUAUUAACGUUAGCUUUUAUCAAGUUCAUUGUUUUAUUCUAUUUUAUCAUAUAUCUCGUUAUCAUUCUUUUAAAUAUUUUCUAACGAAUGUAAACAACGUAAUUUUUAGUAAAUUAUCGUCCAGCUUUGAGAAUUGAGAAUUACGGAUAAGAUUUAAACAUAUUUUUUAUGUAAAACAUGCCCCUAUUUAUAAAAUAUCUCUGUUGUCCAGAACAGCGGGAAGUAAGUUAUUCUAAUUUUAAGUAAGUAAAAUUUAUUGUCUCCUUAGUUUGCUUUCACUCAUACCGCAUGUACAUCCGACAGUAAAUGGGAAAUGGUCUUUUAAAAUUUUUAUUGGGUGCAAGAAUACAACAUAGGAUACGAAGGGAGAUAUAAACGAAAGUAUAAAUUGGAACUGGAAGUAAGAAGUAAUCUUUUUUCUAACUUUAACGUCAUUUUUUCCUUUCAAAUAUCAAUGGCACUUUAUUUGCGAAGAUUAUGUACAGAUGCUGUGUAAUGACUUUCUCGGUGUUCAUAUGUACACGCGCGCGAAAAACGUCGAGAACUCGAAGAUACGAUAAAAUGGACAGCUUUCGUUUCGAUGAUAAGGUUGUAGUAACCUUCGAAGAGAAGAAACAAUCUACAAAAGAAUUCGAAUACACAUACACGAUUAUAUACAAAACUUACAUAUACAGCUUCGUUUUUUCCACGAAGAUUCCUUUCUUUCUUUUUUCCUUGUCGUCGUCUUUUCUCUAUAUUAAUUCUUACAUCUUCCCUAUUUUCGCUCAACGCUUCACGAAUAUACGAAAAUACUUUUUCUUACAAAAUACAAUAACCGUCGCCGCCGUCUUUCGUUCAUUUGUACAAAUACAGUUCGUACGUUGACGAUUGUUCGAAAUUUUUAUAUGAAUCGAAAAAACGUAUGAAAUACAGAAAUAUAGUAAAAACGCGAUUAAAAAAGUUGAGGAUAAUUUCAGUUCUUUAAAAAC